This is a long non-coding RNA of Astyanax mexicanus (Mexican tetra), 245 nucleotides long. RefSeq lists it as uncharacterized. The record is from RefSeq and is a predicted model, not a curated record. The transcript has 3 exons. Lineage: Eukaryota; Metazoa; Chordata; Actinopteri; Characiformes; Acestrorhamphidae.
AUAAUUUACCACACAUUUAAUUGUUUCACAUAAAAAUAAUGAGAAUUUCUAAAACGGCCCAAAAAUGCUCUGGAAGGUAAGACUAUAGUCUUAUGUAAUUUUGCAAUUUUGGAAAAAAAGUAAAGGUAAUUUUUAUGAUAAAUACAGAGCUGAGUGCUUCUAAAAGUCAUUAUGGGGAAAUUUAAAACUCAUUUAAGUGUUUCCUAUUAAAAUAAUGAACAUUUACAAAUGGUCCAAAAAUGCUC